UGGACCAGAUAGAAGCAAUGUAGUUGGCUCC
Molecule: non-coding RNA, 31 nt
Filed under: Rattus norvegicus (Norway rat)
Lineage: Eukaryota; Metazoa; Chordata; Mammalia; Rodentia; Muridae
Source: RNAcentral